UUCAGGCGUGUAGUUUUUCCUAUCUACAGGCCUUCAACUGUUCCUGUGGGCCUGUGUCUGGAGUUCACCAGGCAGGUCACUUGCAGCAGAAAAGUUGGUCUUACCUGUGGUCCCGAGGCUCAAGUUUGCUCGUGGGGUGCUGCCUACGAGCUCUCCGCGGUGGCAGCAACCAGGAAGAUCUGCGCCGCCGUUUCCGGGAGCCUCAGUGCACCAGGGCUCCAGAUGGCCUUUGGUGUUUUCCUCUGGCGUCAGAGAUGUGUGCAGAGUGCAGUCUCUUCUGAUUUCCCAGGCGUGUCUGCCUCUCUGAAGGUUUAGCUCUCCCUCCCACGGGAUUUGGGUGCAGAGAACUGUUUAUCCGGUCUGUCCUAAAUUCUUUUGUUUUAUUGAUGAAAAAUGUCCCUGGUUAAUUUUAAACAGUGUGUGGCUGAGGGUGACAAGUGUGCAGGCCUGCUAACAAGCAAGCUGCAGGCUGUGCGUGGGCAACAGCACAGCUCAGGCCAAGUCAGCAUAAGAAGAGUUUCAAGGUGAGGAAGCCAGCGCAGAAACAGGGAUGUAUUGGGGAUGCUACAGAAGUGUGCCAGCUGCCUGCGUGUCUGGUGAGACAUGCUGAUCCUGGGAGCAUGAAGAUUCAGCUCUCCUGGUUCGGGACCGUGGAGUCAUUCCUGUGCCCUUGAAAGAAGAUGGAGACUUUUUAGGAUUUACCCUCACCGAGCACAGGAAGAUAACAUUCAAGGGAUGCCUCAGCUUGAGCAGAUACCAGUUAUCUCCUGAGUCAACACCCGGUGUCUCCACCGCAUGACCUCAUCGUCUACCGCCUGACCUCUUUGCCUCCUGCUAUCACUGACUAUAUCCUCAUCCCUCCAUCCUUUGUGUUUCACAAAGGACACUCCCCCUACCUGAAAGCCUUAAAAGCUGGAACGUUCACCCCAAUAAAUGAGACCUUGACAAUA
Non-coding RNA from Rattus norvegicus (Norway rat), 950 nucleotides. The record is from RefSeq and is a predicted model, not a curated record. NCBI's taxonomy places the organism in Eukaryota, Metazoa, Chordata, Mammalia, Rodentia, Muridae.